CACAACACGCAAACUAAGCUUUCCACACUGGAUAGAUAGGCUCUACAUGAGCAAAUUCUCACCCUGAGUGAUAAACAGGUGGGCAGAUUCUUAAGGCACAAGCUGCUUUGGCUUUGCAGCUUGGAUUUCCCAGGUUUUCUUACACAGGCUAGGAAUCUCUCUCCAGCCUGGCACCAUCACUUCUCAUAGUUCAAUCUUUGUCCCUCAGGUGUUUCCAGGUGUCUUAUUGCAGGGAGUGUGAGGUCCCCCCUGAUGUCAUUGUUCCCCUUUUAUCUCCUCUUCCCACCCGCUGGAAAACUCUUUUGCUGUGACCUGGGUCCAACAGUUCCCAUUGUGUAGCGUUCUCUCAGAGAGGUUUCUAUUGUGGACAGUUCCUGGGGUAACCCUGCUGCUUAUGUGCAUUUCCUCAAUAAGCCAUUGUUUGGCGUUUUUACUGUUGUACCUGAUAGGCUGUUUUGAACUUCACAACGUGUUUCAGGAACACAGACGUAGCUGAACUUCAUAAUUUCACAUACAACGAUAGCACAUACAAUCCAAUGAGACAUUGAUGUCUAGCAGAUAAAGACUUUUAGAAUGAUACCUUACAAUACGUACUUUGUACAAAACAUAAUCUAAUGACAUGACAGUGGCGAAUAUUGGGGUGUCAGGGUGUCCCACCCAGCUGUUCCUCCCACUCUGUCAAGCCCCCAGUAACACUGUCUGGCUGCCUAGCCCUCAUGUUGCAGUUCCUCUUUGGACACCUACCCCGUGAGAGCUGCUCCCUCUCUAGUCCGGUUUCACACAGAGCUGCCCUGCCCUCCCCAGAUAGUCACUCUUGUUACCAGAUGAAUGGCCUUCUGCCAUUCGGCAUAUCAAAGCCUGAGCAGCACUGGGGGGAAGCUUUCUAACAUCUCUCCCACUGGCAGCUCCUUUCCACGCUAACCUUCCUCUUUGUGUCUAAUCUCUGCGGGGCAUAGGAGGAGGCCCAGAAAAUGAAUUUUUUGAUUUCCAUCGUCAACCUCGUCAUAGACAUCGUGGCAUGGAGCCCAGAAAUAAAUAUGGACCACAAAGCCCUGCUAGUGGAGAAGAUAGCGGAGAUGCUUCAGCACGAGCCCGUCGACUCCCUGACCGACAUGGUGCGUCAGCAAGCGAUGCUCACCAUCAUGGAGCUGAGGUACCCAGCCUGCCCGGCCCAGCCCCAGCCAGUGCUGUGUGCAGCC
Molecule: long non-coding RNA, 1199 nt
Filed under: Chrysemys picta bellii (western painted turtle)
Lineage: Eukaryota; Metazoa; Chordata; Testudines; Emydidae
Description: lncRNA (ENSCPBG00000017297.1)
Source: RNAcentral